AGCGAACGCUGGCGGCAGGCUUAACACAUGCAAGUCGAGCGGGCACCUUCGGGUGUCAGCGGCAGACGGGUGAGUAACACGUGGGAACGUACCCUUCGGUUCGGAAUAACGCUGGGAAACUAGCGCUAAUACCGGAUACGCCCUUAUGGGGAAAGGUUUACUGCCGAAGGAUCGGCCCGCGUCUGAUUAGCUAGUUGGUGGGGUAACGGCCUACCAAGGCGACGAUCAGUAGCUGGUCUGAGAGGAUGAUCAGCCACACUGGGACUGAGACACGGCCCAGACUCCUACGGGAGGCAGCAGUGGGGAAUACUGGACAAUGGGCGCAAGCCUGAUCCAGCCAUGCCGCGUGAGUGAUGAAGGCCUUAGGGUUGUAAAGCUCUUUUGUCCGGGACGAUAAUGACGGUACCGGAAGAAUAAGCCCCGGCUAACUUCGUG
RNAcentral lists this ribosomal RNA (435 nucleotides) under uncultured bacterium. Its description in RNAcentral is "partial 16S ribosomal RNA". It matches the Rfam family "Bacterial small subunit ribosomal RNA", at positions 29 to 507 of the family's 1533-position model. The record is from RNAcentral.